RNAcentral lists this ribosomal RNA (492 nucleotides) under uncultured bacterium. Its description in RNAcentral is "partial 16S ribosomal RNA". It matches the Rfam family "Bacterial small subunit ribosomal RNA", at positions 28 to 507 of the family's 1533-position model. The record is from RNAcentral.
GAUGAACGCUAGCUACAGGCUUAACACAUGCAAGUCGAGGGGAAACGACAUCGAAAGCUUGCUUUUGAUGGGCGUCGACCGGCGCACGGGUGAGUAACGCGUAUCCAACCUGCCCACCACUUGGGGAUAACCUUGCGAAAGUAAGACUAAUACCCAAUGAUAUCCCACGAAGACAUCUGAAUGGGAUUAAAGAUUUAUCGGUGAUGGAUGGGGAUGCGUCUGAUUAGCUUGUUGGCGAGGUAACGGCCCACCAAGGCAACGAUCAGUAGGGGUUCUGAGAGGAAGGUCCCCCACAUUGGAACUGAGACACGGUCCAAACUCCUACGGGAGGCAGCAGUGAGGAAUAUUGGUCAAUGGGCGAGAGCCUGAACCAGCCAAGUAGCGUGCAGGAAGACGGCCCUAUGGGUUGUAAACUGCUUUUAUAAGGGAAUAAAGUGGGUCACGUGUGACUUUUUGCAUGUACCUUAUGAAUAAGGACCGGCUAAUUCCGUG